RNAcentral lists this ribosomal RNA (497 nucleotides) under uncultured bacterium. RNAcentral describes it as "partial 16S ribosomal RNA". It matches the Rfam family "Bacterial small subunit ribosomal RNA", at positions 28 to 507 of the family's 1533-position model. The record is from RNAcentral.
GAUGAACGCUGGCGGCGUGCCUAAUACGUGCAAGUCGAGCGAACGGACGAGAAGCUUGCUUCUCUGAUGUUAGCGGCGGACGGGUAAGUAACACGUGGAUAACCUACCUAUAAGACUGGGAUAACUUCGGGAAACCGUAGCUAAUACCGGAUAAUAUUUUGAACCGCAUGGUUCAAAAGUGAAAGACGGUCUUGCUGUCACUUAUAGAUGGAUCCGCGCUGCAUUAGCUAGUUGGUAAGGUAACGGCUUACCAAGGCAACGAUGCAUAGCCGACCUGAGAGGGUGAUCGGCCACACUGGAACUGAGUCACGGUCCAGACUCCUACGGGAGGCAGCAGUAGGGAAUCUUCCGCAAUGGGCGAAAGCCUGACGGAGCAACGCCGCGUGAGUGAUGAAGGUCUUCGGAUCGUAAAACUCUGUUAUUAGGGAAGAACAUAUGUGUAAGUAACUGUGCACAUCUUGACGGUACCUAAUCAGAAAGCCACGGCUAACUACGUG